This 406-nucleotide ribosomal RNA is filed under the name uncultured bacterium. RNAcentral's name for it is "partial 16S ribosomal RNA". It matches the Rfam family "Bacterial small subunit ribosomal RNA", at positions 30 to 526 of the family's 1533-position model. The record is from RNAcentral.
AUUGAACGCUGGCGGCAGGCCUAACACAUGCAAGUCGAACGCGUGGCGGAGGGGUGAGUAAUGUCUUGGAAACUGCCCGAUGUGGGGGGAUAACUACUGGAAACGCUAGCUAAUACCGCAUACCCUCGGAUGUGCCCAGAUGGGAUUUGAUUGUAGGUGAGGUAACGGCUCACCUAGGCGACGAUCCCUAGAUGGUCUGAGAGGAUGACCAGCCACACUGGAACUGAGACACGGUCCAGACUCCUACGGUAGGCAGCAGUGGGGAAUAUUGCACAAUGGGCGCAAGCCUGAUGCAGCCAUGCCGCGUGUAUGAAGAAGGCCUUCGGGUUGUAAAGUACUUUCAGCGGGGAGGCGUUACCCGCAGAAGAAGCACCGGCUAACUCCGUGCCAGCCGCCGCGGUAAUAC